RNAcentral lists this small RNA (123 nucleotides) under Salmonella enterica subsp. enterica serovar Kentucky. Its description in RNAcentral is "RtT sRNA". It matches the Rfam family "RtT RNA". From Rfam's summary of the family: This family represents a bacterial cis-regulatory element known as RtT RNA. The exact function of RtT is unknown although it is thought that it may be involved in changing the cellular response in relation to amino acid starvation. Lineage: Bacteria; Pseudomonadati; Pseudomonadota; Gammaproteobacteria; Enterobacterales; Enterobacteriaceae. The record is from RNAcentral.
CUAUCUGCGAUAUGGAAGAUUCGAACCUGCCGCAGGUUCGGGUCGAACGCAGUGAGACAACGGAGCCGUUUACGGCGACGGCCCGUAGGGCGAGCGAAGCGAGUCAUCCUGCACGACCCACCA